RNAcentral lists this long non-coding RNA (999 nucleotides) under Homo sapiens (human). RNAcentral's name for it is "HSALNT0045202". The record is from RNAcentral. Lineage: Eukaryota; Metazoa; Chordata; Mammalia; Primates; Hominidae.
GAAUUCUAUUUUAAUAUUAAAAUUUAUUUCUAAGAGAAGAUACUCUAGUUUGCAUUAAGAUGUCAUUUAAUACUGAAAAUUAGUAAAUAAAAUUUUAACUGUAAUUUAUCUAUAACAGUAAUAUAUAUAGCCUUAAAUCAUGUUUUUACGCGUUGUUAAUUUAUACAUGUUUUUACUAAGCUAACCAUAUUUGCUACUAUUUUUGUGCAGAUCAAGCUGUAGUUCACUUGAAACAAAGGGAUUGUGAUCUUUGUACACAAGACAUAUUUGAACAUAUUUCUUCAACAGAGAUUAACCUCAGACCUACUGUGUGACAUAAGUUAUUGAAAAUGCUGGAUUACGAGGGAGGUGGAUCACGAGGUCAAGAGAUCAAGACCAUCCUGGCCAACAUGAUGAAACCCUGUCUCUACUAAAAUUAGCCAGGCAUGAUGGCGUGCACCUGUAGUCCCUGCUACUUAGGGGGCUGAGGCAGGAGAAUCACUUGAACCUGGGAGGCAGAGGUUGCAGUGAGCCCAUUUCGCACCACUGUACUCCAGCCUGAUGACAGAGCGAGACUCCAUUUCAAAGAAAAAGAAAAAAAAAAGAAAGAAAAUACUGGAUUAAUGUGCGAGGAGUUACUGGCUGAAGUCACACACAAAAAGCAUCUCUUUGUGUACGAUCCAUGAAUUUAAUGAUUUAUCUAUCAUACGUUUUUCUUUUCAAGAAACCGAGUAUAUGCGGAUGUGGUUAUGGAACUACUUCUUCAAAUACAAUGACGCAUGUUUAAAUCUUGCAUUGAUAUUUUACUUUUUUUUAAGUAGGUGUUCUUUCUUUUUCUUUUUCUUUAUUUUAUUAUUUUUUUUUAUUUUACUUUAAGUUCUGGGAUACAUGUACAGAAGCGUGCAGGUGUGUUACAUAGGUACACAUGUGCCAUGGUGGUUUGCUGCAUCUAUCAACCCAUCAUCUAGGUUUUAACACCUGCAUGCAUUAGGUAUUUGUCCUAAUGCCCUCCCUCCCCUU